Long non-coding RNA from Acipenser ruthenus (sterlet), 338 nucleotides. RefSeq lists it as uncharacterized. NCBI's taxonomy places the organism in Eukaryota, Metazoa, Chordata, Actinopteri, Acipenseriformes, Acipenseridae. The record is from RefSeq and is a predicted model, not a curated record. The transcript has 4 exons.
GUUUGAGAGAACCUUUAGGGAAGGCCAUGGCCCAGCCUUAAGGAUAUUAGCGCAGUCAGAGGAAUGAGGACAGGAGCUAAGACCUACACUCGGCACUUGCACCCGCACCUCUCCAUUUGAGUAGUGAGUUCUAAAAUGCACUGCUGGUCCUACGGGAGUCCUGACACACAAAGGCAAUCCCCACACCCCAAUGCACAAAUUUAUAUUUGAGUAACUGCAAUAAAAUCAUAAAAAAGGGAGCAGUAAAACAGCAAAAGAAGUUCUGCAACAUAAGACCUACUAAAGAUGGCUGCACUGAAUGCCGCAUUGUCUUGAACAAACACAGGUGCCAAAUGACC